CCCUUAGAUGCUCUGGGCCGCACGCGCGCUACACUGGUCGAUGCAACGAGUUUCUUUCCUUGGCCGACAGGCCUGGGCAAUCUUUGAACAUCGAUCGUGAUCGGGAUAGAUUCUUGUAAUUUUUGAUCUUAAACGAGGAAUUCCUAGUAAACGCAAGUCAUCAACUUGCAUUGAUUACGUCCCUGCCCUUUGUACACACCGCCCGUCGCACCUACCGAUUGAAUGGUCCGGUGAAGCCUCCGGAUUGGCGCGCACCUCGGUGCCGCCGAGAAGUUGGCUAAACCUUACCAUUUAGAGGAAGGUGAAGUCGUAACA
This 315-nucleotide ribosomal RNA is filed under the name uncultured eukaryote. RNAcentral describes it as "partial 18S ribosomal RNA". It matches the Rfam family "Eukaryotic small subunit ribosomal RNA", at positions 1470 to 1796 of the family's 1831-position model. The record is from RNAcentral.